Anolis carolinensis (green anole) is the source of this 1325-nucleotide long non-coding RNA. RefSeq lists it as uncharacterized. The transcript has 2 exons. The record is from RefSeq and is a predicted model, not a curated record. Lineage: Eukaryota; Metazoa; Chordata; Lepidosauria; Squamata; Anolidae.
AGAAAAGGGAAUUAUAUCCUCACAUAACCAUCACUACUACCAGACAGACAAGUGGAAAUGAAGACAUGCAAAUGCUCCUGUGAAGGUGAUGGGACUGAGAGCUGGGCCUCCCCUAAUGAUCCUAAUCUCCUAGGUAGUUCAUAGGAGGAGAUACAUUCAGACAGGUAAGCUGGACUGGGACUGUUUUGGCUAAAGCCAGCACUUUGAAUUGUGUUCGGUAGCAAACUGGCAGACAGUGGAGCUGGCGCAACAGGGGGUUGUAUGCUCUCUGUACACUACUUCAGUGAGCAACCUAGCUGCUGCCAAACCCUCUCUGGUUUCCUUUAUCAGCCCAGAUGGGCAGGGGUCUAGAAUGCAUGUGGCUGCCCUCACCUCUCCAAGCAACUUUUCCACAUCCUCAAGCUGCACCAAUUGAAAUGAACUCAUCAAAACUGGACAAGCAGGUGCUCAUGUUACAUCCCCAGAGACUGCUGUUAACAUGGUGUCCAAGCCGGAGCAGAUCAGAGCGACUUUGUCCACAAAGAACUGAACAAAUGCUUCACAGCAAACUGCCAAGUUGUCAGUCAGCCAAGUUGGAAGAUGCGAUUUAACAACUCUCUGACUACUCAAAACAGCUCCGCUGGACUGUUUGUUGCAGACUCAAUAUUGACCACAAAGAAAAAAUUAUUUGCAGCGUCUAUUCCCAUGGCAUAUGCCCUUAGGUAGGCACACAGAUGUGUUCAGUCUGACUUGCUAUGCUUUAAAUGCCACAUGCACUCUAGCUCCCUGAUCUUUCGCUUCGCUGCCAGUUCCUCGUUGAACUAAGGAGUCGGUUUAGCUCGGCUAUUCGAGGGGAUAUAAGAAUAAAGUUAUUGUUGUUAUUGUUGAUGUUGUUGUUGAGACGAGGGAGAGAAUGCAGAACCAUAUGAAAGAAAAAUAUAAAGUUCACAAUUAGUGCAUCUGAUAUAAUAACAGUUUCUUAUAGCUUACAGUUGGACACUUAUAUAAUUAUUAUUUUGUUAUUCAGCUAGUGUACUGUUUAUGCCAAGAACAGGAUCUUAUGUUUUUGGGUUAUUAACAAACAAUGAUAAGGCUAGCCCCGUACAAAUUGUGCAUGCCAGCAGCCAAAAAGCAGCAGUGGUGCAUUGUGAAUCAAUAUUGCAUUAAUGAAUCAACGAGUUGGUUGAUCUUCCAAUUUCCCAACCCUUCACAAUUCUUCUGGCAGAAGUCUAGAAUAGAAAUGUAAAUCCUAGCUCACCUCAUUCUCCAAUACAAUAACAAACAUUUUCAAAAUAUGAAAUUAUGUUUUUUAUUUCUUCUCUGUAUUUAAUAAAGAGUAGGAAAUA